Molecule: ribosomal RNA, 451 nt
Filed under: Rhodotorula mucilaginosa
Lineage: Eukaryota; Fungi; Basidiomycota; Microbotryomycetes; Sporidiobolales; Sporidiobolaceae
Description: partial large subunit ribosomal RNA
Rfam family: Eukaryotic large subunit ribosomal RNA
Source: RNAcentral
AUAAUCUGGCACCUUCGGUGUCCGAGUUGUAAUCUCUAGAAAUGUUUUCCGCGUUGGACCGCACACAAGUCUGUUGGAAUACAGCGGCAUAGUGGUGAGACCCCCGUAUAUGGUGCGGACGCCCAGCGCUUUGUGAUACAUUUUCGAAGAGUCGAGUUGUUUGGGAAUGCAGCUCAAAUUGGGUGGUAAAUUCCAUCUAAAGCUAAAUAUUGGCGAGAGACCGAUAGCGAACAAGUACCGUGAGGGAAAGAUGAAAAGCACUUUGGAAAGAGAGUUAACAGUACGUGAAAUUGUUGGAAGGGAAACGCUUGAAGUCAGACUUGCUUGCCGAGCAAUCGGUUUGCAGGCCAGCAUCAGUUUUCCGGGAUGGAUAAUGGUAGAGAGAAGGUAGCAGUUUCGGCUGUGUUAUAGCUCUCUGCUGGAUACAUCUUGGGGGACUGAGGAACGCAGU